RNAcentral lists this transfer RNA (73 nucleotides) under bacterium HR10. It matches the Rfam family "tRNA". Rfam says of the family: Transfer RNA (tRNA) molecules are approximately 80 nucleotides in length. Their secondary structure includes four short double-helical elements and three loops (D, anti-codon, and T loops). Further hydrogen bonds mediate the characteristic L-shaped molecular structure. tRNAs have two regions of fundamental functional importance: the anti-codon, which is responsible for specific mRNA codon recognition, and the 3' end, to which the tRNAs corresponding amino acid is attached (by aminoacyl-tRNA synthetases). tRNAs cope with the degeneracy of the genetic code in two manners: having more than one tRNA (with a specific anti-codon) for a particular amino acid; and 'wobble' base-pairing, i.e. permitting non-standard base-pairing at the 3rd anti-codon position. RNAcentral also lists the same sequence under 1 other name. The record is from Rfam by way of RNAcentral.
GCCGGUGUAGCUCAGUUGGUAGAGCGGCUGACUUGUAAUCAGCAGGUCGUGGGUUCGAAUCCCGCCACCGGCU